CGAUCUCUCAAUUGACUUUCUGCCGAUCGCCGACCGGUACUGUUCUUUUUUGCCCUCCUUUAUUUUGUUUUGCCCUAGUGCUUACGGAGUACGGGGUAUCGGAUAUUGGGGGCGAGCGACAUGUAGCCUCCAAGCUCCCGGAUCCCCUUCCAUCGCGAUCAAAUCUUAAUCAGAUCCUUGGGGUCCAAUGUUGGUCUCGGGUGAGGUUUCAGUGUGGAUGGAAGGAAUGCUUCUUUCUGGGUUUCUUAUUCCAUUGCCAUUUGUCCGGGAUGUCUUCCGAUGUUCUCUGUAGUCAGGGAGACCGACGGCCUUUGAUACCAUCCAGCUACUACUACUCCGUACAAGGGCCCUUAACCCUUGAGCCAAUGCUAAAUGAACAAUUGGUGCACCCAGGUUCUUUACCGAAGACCCUGGGCCUUGUUCUCCUUUCCGUACCUAGGUAGUCGGCAACAUUUGCGAGAU
Molecule: small RNA, 462 nt
Filed under: Histoplasma ohiense
Lineage: Eukaryota; Fungi; Ascomycota; Eurotiomycetes; Onygenales; Ajellomycetaceae
Description: hypothetical lncRNA
Source: RNAcentral